UACAAAAGAAAUGAUGUCAUGCCUGAUCGCUUGCAAGUAACUGGUAAUCGUCUUUCUCGAAAACAGAUGGCGUGUUGUUAUUUUUGUUUUCUGUUCGUCGUCUGCUCUUCUUCAUUUGAGUUUGAGACUUGGGAGUGUUGGACACGAAAAGAACGCUGUUAUAACAUUUGUUACCGUGUGUUUUCUGGUAUAAAUUUAUUUAGUGAGUUUGGUUUUCCAUACUGUCGACACCGAAAACUCAAUCAACAGUCCUGUGGUGACUAAUGCAGGGUCUAUUUAAAAAACAAGAAACAUUUUGUCAAUUCCUCGACCGACCGUUAUCAUCAAGUCUUCAUUCAUUCCUCAAAACACCCAGAAAAUGUACCUGCCGUCUGAUAGUCAUCAGAUAAGAUGUACCCUAUUUCAUGAACAAAUUGCUCGACACUUCCUGUCACUCACAUCUUCAGCUUCAUCUGUCAUCUUCUCACAUCUUUGGCUGCAAAAAUUCCAACUUUUUUGCCCAAAAGUUGUGGCCUGUUAGGAAUAUGGUUUAGGGUCAUCCUUGCCUGAAAAAUAUUACACCUUUGAUCAAUGUGUUUAUUGGUGGGGUUGAUGGAGUCAUGAAAUUGAAUUGCUGGUGCCAUUCCCUGAAGCAGCCACUUCACAACCAUAAGAGACGAGCAGAAGUACACCUACAACAGAUUGAGAACUAUUUGUUACGUCGCUGAGAUCGCGAGACGACCGCCAAUGUCAAUCUACAACGCAGUUUCUUUAUUGGAAUUGCUUGGUCCUGGCAUGGAGAUCCUUGAGCAAACGCCUGCUUUGGUCCAUGACAGAAGAGGGACUUCCAACAGCUUUCUGCUUCAUCCUUAUCCUCACGACGUCUGCUCAUCCAGCUUCACUGCUUCUUUUGCUGCUAGACUUUUCUUGCUUCACUGGCGAGUUUGCUCACUUCAGCGUUCGCUUCCAUUCGCUGUGACACACCUGCAGUCACUCAUCACGGGAUUGUGCCCAGGUCAUGCAGAGGAGAAGUCGAGAAGAUGGACACCAAAACAUCGCCGGUAUCUCCAAAAUGUCAGCGCGGAUCAUCAUUUGUUGUUGGUAAUAUAUUUUGUGUGUGUGUGUUAGUUAACCCGUUGGCUGCCACGC
Molecule: long non-coding RNA, 1128 nt
Filed under: Daphnia pulicaria
Lineage: Eukaryota; Metazoa; Arthropoda; Branchiopoda; Diplostraca; Daphniidae
Description: uncharacterized LOC124329275, transcript variant X2
Source: RNAcentral